UAACAGUGAGAAAUCAUUGCUAAUACCGCAUAUGCCAUGAACAUCACAUGAUGAAAGUGGGAAAAGAGUAAUCUGCUAGUAGAUGGGCUCGCGUCUGAUUAGAUAGUUGGUGGGGUAACGGCCUACCAAGUCGACGAUCAGUAGCCGGACUGAGAGGUUGAACGGCCACAUUGGGACUGAGAUACGGCCCAGACUCCUACGGGAGGCAGCAGUCGGGAAUAUUGCGCAAUGGAGGAAACUCUGACGCAGUGACGCCGCGUAUAGGAAGAAGGUUUUCGGAUUGUAAACUAUUGUCGUUAGGGAAGAUACAAGACAGUACCUAAGGAGGAAGCUCCGGCUAACUACGUGCCAGCAGCCGCGGUAAUACGUAGGGAGCAAGCGUUAUCCGGAUUUAUUGGGUGUAAAGGGUGCGUAGACGGGAAAGCAAGUUAGUUGUGAAAUCCCUCGGCUUAACUGAGGAACUGCAACUAAAACUGUUUUUCUUGAGUGUUGGAGAGGAAAGUGGAAUUCCUAGUGUAGCGGUGAAAUGCGUAGAUAUUAGGAGGAACACCGGUGGCGAAGGCGACUUUCUGGACAAUAACUGACGUUGAGGCACGAAAGUGUGGGGAGCAAACAGGAUUAGAUACCCUGGUAGUCCACACCGU
This 644-nucleotide ribosomal RNA is filed under the name uncultured bacterium. RNAcentral's name for it is "bacterial SSU rRNA". It matches the Rfam family "Bacterial small subunit ribosomal RNA", at positions 144 to 803 of the family's 1533-position model. The record is from RNAcentral.